RNAcentral lists this ribosomal RNA (252 nucleotides) under uncultured bacterium. RNAcentral's name for it is "partial 16S ribosomal RNA". It matches the Rfam family "Bacterial small subunit ribosomal RNA", at positions 524 to 776 of the family's 1533-position model. The record is from RNAcentral.
UACAGAGGUCUCAAGCGUUGUUCGGAUUAAUUGGGCGUAAAGGGUGCGUAGGCGGCGCGGUAAGUCGGGUGUGAAAUCUCGGGGCUUAACUCCGAAACUGCAUUCGAUACUGCCGUGCUUGAGGACUGGAGAGGAGACUGGAAUUUACGGUGUAGCGGUGAAAUGCGUAGAUAUCGUAAGGAAGACCAGUGGCGAAGGCGGGUCUCUGGACAGUUCCUGACGCUGAGGCACGAAGGUCAGGGAGCAAACGGG